Cervus hanglu yarkandensis (Yarkand deer) is the source of this 104-nucleotide small nuclear RNA. The record is from Ensembl. NCBI's taxonomy places the organism in Eukaryota, Metazoa, Chordata, Mammalia, Artiodactyla, Cervidae.
GUGCUUACGUCAGCAGCGCAUAUCCUAAAAUUGGAACAGUGCGGAGAUUUGCGUGGCCCCUUGGCAAGGAUGACUUGCAAAUCUGUGAAGCGUUCCAUAUUUUU